This 253-nucleotide ribosomal RNA is filed under the name uncultured bacterium. RNAcentral's name for it is "partial 16S ribosomal RNA". It matches the Rfam family "Bacterial small subunit ribosomal RNA", at positions 524 to 776 of the family's 1533-position model. The record is from RNAcentral.
UACGAGCGGCCCAAACGUUAUUCGGAAUUACUGGGCUUAAAGAGUUCGUAGGCGGCAUUGCAAGUAGGGUGUGAAAGCCCUCGGCUCAACCGAGGAAUUGCGCUCUAAACUGCAGUGCUUGAGGAACCUAGAGGUGAGCAGAACAGAUGGUGGAGCGGUGAAAUGCGUUGAUAUCAUCUGGAAUACCGGAGGCGAAGGCGGCUCACUGGGAGUUUUCUGACGCUGAGGAACGAAAGCCAGGGUAGCGAACGGG